CCAAACUUGGUCAUUUAGAGGAAGUAAAAGUCGUAACAAGGUAACCGUAGGUGAACCUGCGGUUGGAUCAUUAUCGUGGCUUGCUGCUGUGCUUUAUUGUCUUUUUGUGUUUGUGUUUGUCUGGUUGCGGGGUUCGUCUUUUGGUCUUUGGUCUUUGGUUGCAGUUGGUGUUCACUGACUCGUGACCAACAGGACUCGUGGCCGACAGGACUCGUGACAGACCAAACACAACACCAACAAAACAGAUUCUACGAGAUUAUUGCAAUGAAAUCAAAACAACUUUUGACAACGGAUCUCUUGGCUCUCGCAUCGAUGAAGAACGCAGC
Molecule: unclassified non-coding RNA, 326 nt
Filed under: uncultured fungus
Lineage: Eukaryota; Fungi
Description: partial contains small subunit ribosomal RNA, internal transcribed spacer 1, and 5.8S ribosomal RNA
Rfam family: Eukaryotic small subunit ribosomal RNA (bases 1-73)
Source: RNAcentral